CGGAAGAGGAUGGGCAUGCGGCGCAUUAGCUAGACGGCGGGGUAACGGCCCACCGUGGCGACGAUGCGUAGGGGUUCUGAGAGGAAGGUCCCCCACACUGGUACUGAGACACGGACCAGACUCCUACGGGAGGCAGCAGUGAGGAAUAUUGGUCAAUGGGAGAGAUCCUGAACCAGCCAAGCCGCGUGAGGGAAGACGGCCCUAUGGGUUGUAAACCUCUUUUGUCGGAGAACAAAACCCGGGACGUGUCCCGGACUGCGUGUAUCCGAAGAAAAAGCAUCGGCUAACUCCGUGCCAGCAGCCGCGGUAAUACGGAGGAUGCGAGCGUUAUCCGGAUUUAUUGGGUUUAAAGGGUGCGUAGGCGGUCCGUUAAGUCAGCGGUAAAAUUGCGGGGCUCAACCCCGUCGAGCCGUUGAAACUGGCAGACUUGAGUUGGCGAGAAGUACGCGGAAUGCGCGGUGUAGCGGUGAAAUGCAUAGAUAUCGCGCAGAACUCCGAUUGCGAAGGCAGCGUACCGGCGCCAGACUGACGCUGAGGCACGAAAGCGUGGGGAUCGAACAGGAUUAGAUACCCUGGUAGUCCACGCAGUAAACGAUGAAUGCUGGUUGUCCGGGUCGAAUGAGAUCUGG
Molecule: ribosomal RNA, 629 nt
Filed under: uncultured bacterium
Lineage: Bacteria
Description: bacterial SSU rRNA
Rfam family: Bacterial small subunit ribosomal RNA
Source: RNAcentral